GAUCUCCCCACGCGACCACUCUUGCCCCCACCCCUUCCACUCGUCUUCCUCUUAUCCACGGAUGACCGUCGCCCAAAUUUCUCGGCGAUGGCGGGGAGAUGCGGCGCAUCCAGGUGAUAGGGGUUGGGCCGCACGGGCUCGUUGAGAUCGUGAACGACCAGCCUGCUCCGUCAGGUCGUGGACGGCGAGGCUGGGCAGGGAAGAGGAGCAAGCCAGGAGGUCGCUGAUGAGGUUCGCCGGUCAGACAGGUGCAAGGGCGCCGAUUUCCCUCCUCGUGUUCCCGGACGACGCGCAAGCCAUCCUUCCCUUUCUUCCGUGCGGCUCUACCCUGUCCUGACUUCUCCUCGCCGCGCCGCCGUCCGCUCGACCACAGCUCGCCCCCGUCCACAAAGGAGACAAGUAGCAGCAGCGCCCCAAAUCGAGGGAGGGAGGAUCCUCUCAGUCAACUAACAAAUGGAUGGUAAGACCAGGAGAAUAUAACUGAAGAAAUCUAUAGCAUUUUAACUGAAGGACAAACUGACUUAUCUUCAGUUAAGUGGCAUAUUAACUUUUCAUCAGUGAGGUCAAAAAAGCAAGAUUUAGAUGAUAUUUCGCAACAAUGUCAAUGUUAGAUUCUGAUUCACCAACAGUGCUCUUUAAGUUACAAAGGAUUUGAAUUGAGCGAUUCAACUCUGCCUUCAUCAGUACAAACAAUUCAUAAAAGAGAUGAAUUGGACUAAUCUACUCAGCAUCUCAUGACUUUAGAAGCACGAGUUCAUGAAAACUGAUAUCCACUAGGAUUGCUCUGCUCCUGUUGACAUGCGAGAGCUGUUUGAAGCGAACUGGAUGGUUGUCACCACUAAUUAAGCUGCCGAGCCCAAGAAUUGUGUCAGACUAUUGGUCAAGCUGUUCAAUUUCUCAACACCGUUCAGUUUUGUCAUUGGCCGCCCUUGCGUACACUCAACAGAGAAGGGUAUCUAUCCUCAAUUUCCUACUCUAGAUAACAUCUACUCAUAUAAUUGAUCUCUAAUAUCCUGUAUAAAACGUUAGUGGUGGCUCGACAAUUUAAUAAGCCAGAUUUGUGGGAAGUGGAAUGCAUGUGUAACCAAACUGGGCUGGACCAAUCUUGAGGUUUUCCACGAAUUCUUUUAAAAAUGGUCCUUAAGCAAGGCACUGGGAAAUCGUGGAUAGCUGAUAUAUCCAGCAGGUAUGUGCACAUUCUGCUAUAAUCUAGAGUAGGGAGUGCUCAGCAUAAAUUGUGAGAUCUGAGCUGGUACAUAAAAUAAACCAAGAUAGUCUUGUCUUACGUGCGGAUGAUUUUAUUAUGGCAUACUGUUCAGCAUAAUUCUGACUCUAGAAUGUCUAUAUUAGCCAUUUGAUGAGUCAACUAGAAACUUCAUAGGUUUUUAGUACUCCAGUUAUGUUGUCAUUUGUAUAUCUCCAGAUAUAAACUUCAUAAAUUUAUAUCGUGAAUCAUUUUUAUGCUGCUACAUUUCUAGCAGAAGUUGUA
Hordeum vulgare subsp. vulgare (domesticated barley) is the source of this 1489-nucleotide long non-coding RNA. RefSeq lists it as uncharacterized. The transcript is spliced from 4 exons. Lineage: Eukaryota; Viridiplantae; Streptophyta; Magnoliopsida; Poales; Poaceae. The record is from RefSeq and is a predicted model, not a curated record.